RNAcentral lists this ribosomal RNA (465 nucleotides) under uncultured bacterium. RNAcentral's name for it is "partial 16S ribosomal RNA". It matches the Rfam family "Bacterial small subunit ribosomal RNA", at positions 338 to 795 of the family's 1533-position model. The record is from RNAcentral.
CCUACGGGAGGCAGCAGUGGGGAAUAUUGCGCAAUGGGCGAAAGCCUGACGCAGCGACGCCGCGUGCGGGAUGAAGUUCUUCGGAUCGUAAACCUCUGUCAGCAGGGAGGAACGAUCACUGUUCUAAUCAGCAGUGAAUUGACCGCACCAGCAAAGGAAGCACCGGCUAAACCCGUGCCAGCAGCCGCGGUAAUACGGAGGGUGCGAGCGUUGAUCGGAUUUACUGCGCGUAAAGCGCUCGUAGGCGGUAUGUCAAGCCAAGGGUGAAAUCCCGGAGCUCAACGUGGGAACUGCCUUUGAAACUGGCAGACUGGAGUGUGUGAGAGGAUAGCGGAAUUCCAGGUGUAGAGGUGAAAUGCGUAGAUAUCUGGAGGAACAGCAGUGGCGAAGGCGACUAACUGGAACGUAACUGACGCUGAGGAGCGAAAGCGUGGGUAGCAAACAGGAUUAGAUACCCUAGUAGUC